UGGGGAAUAUUGCACAAUGGGCGCAAGCCUGAUGCAGCCAUGCCGCGUGUGUGAAGAAGGCCUUCGGGUUGUAAAACUCUGUUGUUAGAGAAGAACAAGGACGUUAGUAACUGAACGUCCCCUGACGGUAUCUAACCAUAAAGCCACGGCUAACUACGUGCCAGCAGCCGCGGUAAUACGUAGGUGGCAAGCGUUGUCCGGAUUUAUUGGGCGUAAAGCGAGCGCAGGCGGUUUCUUAAGUCUGAUGUGAAAGCCCCCGGCUCAACCGGGGAGGGUCAUUGGAAACUGGGAGACUUGAGUGCAGAAGAGGAGAGUGGAAUUCCAUGUGUAGCGGUGAAAUGCGUAGAUAUAUGGAGGAACACCAGUGGCGAAGGCGGCUCUCUGGUCUGUAACUGACGCUGAGGCUCGAAAGCGUGGGGAGCAAACAGG
RNAcentral lists this ribosomal RNA (429 nucleotides) under Chloroflexota bacterium. Its description in RNAcentral is "Chloroflexi bacterium partial 16S ribosomal RNA". It matches the Rfam family "Bacterial small subunit ribosomal RNA", at positions 355 to 776 of the family's 1533-position model. Lineage: Bacteria; Bacillati; Chloroflexota. The record is from RNAcentral.